AAUUCCGUUAACGAACGAGACCUUAACCUGCUAAAUAGCUAGGCUUAACUUCGGUUAGGUCGUCAGCUUCUUAGAGGGACUAUCGGUGUUUAACCGAUGGAAGUUUGAGGCAAUAACAGGUCUGUGAUGCUCUUAGAUGUUCUGGGCCGCACGCGCGCUACACUGAUGAAGUCAUCGAGUUAACAUCCUUUAUCGGAAGAUAUGGGUAAUCUUUUGAAACUUCAUCGUGCUGGGGAUAGAGCAUUGCAAUG
RNAcentral lists this ribosomal RNA (251 nucleotides) under uncultured fungus. RNAcentral's name for it is "partial small subunit ribosomal RNA". It matches the Rfam family "Eukaryotic small subunit ribosomal RNA", at positions 1321 to 1591 of the family's 1831-position model. The record is from RNAcentral. Lineage: Eukaryota; Fungi.